GAAACGCGAUAGUUAAUGUGAAUUGCAGAAUUCAGUGAAUCAUCGAGUCUUUGAACGCACAUUGCGCCUUUUGGUAUUCCGAGAGGCACGCCUGUCUGAGCGUCAGUUAAACCACUUCGGUAGUAUCCAAUUACCGGUGUUGGCGGCGGGUGGUCCCACCGUGGACCCCCCCGCUUAAACCUGGCGCGGGGUAAGCUAGCCAGCAAAAACCGCAAAUAGUAGAAUUUCCUUCUUUUGCGCAACCCUGGCCCGGCCCCCCCUUCAAAGUAAACCCCAUCUCUUUGACCUCAGAUCAGACGAGGAUACCCGCUGAACUUAA
Molecule: unclassified non-coding RNA, 319 nt
Filed under: uncultured Hyalorbilia
Lineage: Eukaryota; Fungi; Ascomycota; Orbiliomycetes; Orbiliales; Orbiliaceae
Description: sequence contains ITS1
Rfam family: 5.8S ribosomal RNA (bases 1-105)
Source: RNAcentral